RNAcentral lists this ribosomal RNA (325 nucleotides) under Heterotermes indicola. RNAcentral describes it as "partial 12S ribosomal RNA". Lineage: Eukaryota; Metazoa; Arthropoda; Insecta; Blattodea; Rhinotermitidae. The record is from RNAcentral.
UUGUGCUUGAGUAGUAUUAGUUAUGUUCUUGAAACUUAAAGAAUUUGGCGGUAUCUUAUUCCGUUCAGAGGAAUCUGUCUCGUUAUCGAUAGUCCGCGUUGGACCUUACUUAGUUGCUAUGGUUUGUAUACCGCCGUUUAUUGAUUAUUCUUUUAGGGUCGUUAAUUUUCUGGUUUCUUUAUUUUGAUUUAUUUCAGGUCAAGGUGCAGCUUGUUUCUAAGUGUUAUUGAUGGAUUACAUUGUUUUUUGUUGUUUGGAUUAUUGGUUGAAUUACCGGUAUGAAAUUGGAUUUGAUUGUAAUGUCUUGAAUAUUGUUUUCGUGAUA